UCAGAGGCACCUGGGUUGCAAUCGCGGCUUGCCUUCUCCCGCUGCGUGCCUUUGGGCAGGAUUUUGAGACUAGGUUUCCUCGUUUGUAAAGCGGAGGUCGUGUUUACCUCACAGGGCUGCUGAAGGGAAUCUGUAAGAUCGUAGGAAACCGGGAAAACAGUCACAAAAAUGGCAACUGACGUCUCUUUCACGUGAGGAAGGAAGCCUACGGGAAAACAGAAGUUCACAAACGGUUCUUAGAACUGUGGGUGCUGAGGUCAAGUCUUCAAUCCAGGUCUGCUGAUCUGACUCCAGAUCUCAUGUUCUUGCCCCUACACCAUCCAAGCUUCUCUCCACUCCUGAGCGAGGAAAGCCUACGCUCUUCCUGGAGACCCCUGGCCUCGCCCGGUGCUGCCUGGGAGGGACCUCUGCAGUGGUGCCAGUGUUCCACACCCCACAUGAACAGAAUGAUAGCCCUGUAGCAACACUGCCUGGUUUCAAGUCCCAGCCUUCACCUCCUAGUGGUGAGCCUUGAGGAGUAACUUAAUCACUCCACAACUAGACUGUUCCUCCGUGAAAUGGCAAAGAGAGUUGUAAGGGUUAAAUCCGACAGUACAUGUAAAGCAUUCAG
Molecule: long non-coding RNA, 610 nt
Organism: Chinchilla lanigera (long-tailed chinchilla)
Lineage: Eukaryota; Metazoa; Chordata; Mammalia; Rodentia; Chinchillidae
Exons: 2
Source: RefSeq, a predicted model, not a curated record